RNAcentral lists this ribosomal RNA (449 nucleotides) under uncultured Methanomicrobiales archaeon. RNAcentral's name for it is "bacterial SSU rRNA". It matches the Rfam family "Archaeal small subunit ribosomal RNA", at positions 339 to 792 of the family's 1478-position model. The record is from RNAcentral. Lineage: Archaea; Methanobacteriati; Methanobacteriota; Methanomicrobia; Methanomicrobiales.
GCGCGAAAACUUUACAAUGCGGGAAACCGUGAUAAGGGAACUCCGAGUGCCCGUAAAAUCGGGCUGUCCACCAGUUUAAAUAACUGGUGAAGAAAGGGCCGGGCAAGACCGGUGCCAGCCGCCGCGGUAAUACCGGCGGCUCGAGUGGUGGCCACUAUUACUGGGCUUAAAGCGUUCGUAGCUGGUCUGUUAAGUCUCUGGGGAAAUCUACUGGCUUAACCAAUAGACGUUUCAGGGAUACUGGCAGACUAGGGACCGGGAGAGGUGAGAGGUACUCCAGGGGUAGGAGUGAAAUCCUGUAAUCCUUGGGGGACCACCUGUGGCGAAGGCGUCUCACCAGAACGGCUCCGACAGUGAGGGACGAAAGCUGGGGGAGCAAACCGGAUUAGAUACCCGGGUAGUCCCAGCUGUAAACGAUGCGGACUAGGUGUUGAAGCGGCUACGGGCCG